UCCUUCCUCCUCAGAACGAUCGUAGGGGCAAGUGGACACCUAAUUAUGAGGGUCCAUUCGUGGUCAAGAAGGUUUUCUCUGGCGGAGCCUUGUUGUUGACGAUGUCGCAUCUCGAAAAAUACGAUUCCUCGCGAUGGUCGCGGAAAAAUUUAGUUCGAACAUAGUCGCCACCGAACUUUAUUUAUUCCAAUGAAAGAAUAGGAAAAUAUCGAUAAAACCUUUUAAAAAAUGGAAUAAUGAUCGUCGCAACCAUAUUCGGGUUCG
Molecule: long non-coding RNA, 264 nt
Filed under: Lathyrus oleraceus (garden pea)
Lineage: Eukaryota; Viridiplantae; Streptophyta; Magnoliopsida; Fabales; Fabaceae
Description: Pisum sativum (pea) long non-coding RNA (PSAT_LNC000340)
Source: RNAcentral